UAGAUUUUCAUCGCCCAUUCA
This 21-nucleotide non-coding RNA is filed under the name Arabidopsis thaliana (thale cress). The record is from RNAcentral. Lineage: Eukaryota; Viridiplantae; Streptophyta; Magnoliopsida; Brassicales; Brassicaceae.